UUUAGCGCGACAACUUGAGCUCUCUCACAGUCUCACUAGUUUGGGAAGCCGCAAUGGCAGCAGACAAGGCUGAAGAAGACGAGUCGGUUCCGGCGGCAGCUCCGCGUGGCCGUUACGUCAACAAGAGAAAGGUCUCAGGUACCCACCUUCAAAUUAGACCCUGAAAUUUUCUUCCUUUUAUGAUUUUGGUGAAUUGGGUUUUGGUGUGUCUUGGUUUCACAAGAGGAAGAAGAAUAUUGAACUUCUUGCAUCAGGGACUUCAUACGAGAGUCAUUUGUGUUAGAAAUAGCUGAAUUGAAUUCCAGUGUUUGAGGAAUCAGGUGAUUCCACAUUCGGCUGCUGUGGUGGUGUUGAACUAGUACUAGAAGCUGCUGACACUGCUGAAGGAGAUAGGUUCGGAGAUUUAGACUUUUAACUGUUGAACAUAUUAGACUGAGUAUCAGUGAUUGAUUUCUUAGAACUGUUUUUCACUUUCGUUAGAUUAGUUAGAGUUGUUAUCUGUGUUGUGUUGAUUUUGGGUUCUUGCUGUAAACGAGUUCAGGGAUGAAGGGUUUGGUGAUGGGAAUUUGAGGUUUGGGACUGUAGGGGUUUGGUAAAGGCUUGAAUUUGGUAACUGGGUUUAGAUCAAAAUUCUGGCUUUUAUAUGGGAACUGUGGAUUUGGUGAGAAAGAUUGAAAAUUUGAUGAUGGGUUGAAGAUUGUAGAAUAGACGAGCUAUACGACAAUCUGAAAGAUUGAACAUUCUCUAUGUGAGAAUGUUCAAUAUUUGAUGAUGGAUCCCAUAUGCCAACCGUGAAAUAUUGUAGGAAGCUUGCAGAUCGACCGGAUUGCAUAUAUUAACCGAGAAAUGUGAUAUUUUAUUCAUUUACAUUGGGACCGGUGUUUAAGAACUGUUUAGAUUCAUUACAGUCAGUUGAGCAGUAGCAUUUUUUUAUAACAAAGCUAAGAAUAUCCAACAUGCCAACCGCGAGAUAUUGUUGGGAGUCUUGGGAGUCUGACCAUGCAUAGCUCACAGAUUGUCGUAUAGCUCAAAGAGAAUGUAGUAUAACUUGAACUCCAUGUUGUGGACGAACUGUAAGAAACUGAAAAGGCGAGUGGACAUAAGCUGGGGAAAGGGUAAAUGAGUAGUGUUGUAGAAUCAUUGAGAGCGCAAUCUUUGCUUCAUUGGAAGCGAAGUUGAUUCCUGCACACAUUCUAGGUCCCAUUCCAAAGGGUGAGAAUGAACCCAUGUUAUCAUUAGUAGCUUUAGCAACCCCUUCAGAGAAUCUCUCUGGUUUGAAAAGUGCCGCUUCUUGUCCCCAUAUUUGAGAAUCAUGAUGAAGUGCUACAGUUGGGAUAAGCAAUUCAACAUUUGCAGGAACUUGGACUGCUCCCAGUUUUACUUCUCUUGGAACUAUCCUUCCGAUCAAAUUAACAGGAGGAUAUAACCUUAGAGUCUCAUUAAUAAUCAUGCUCAUCUGCAUGCAUCAAAAUAUAAAAAGAUAAGAGAUGAAACUGAGAUUAGUAAACUAACUUAGUUGCAGAUGCCCGUCAAUUAGACGAUCAUAUAUGUGUGUGCGUGUGUUUGUGUGUGUUUAUAUCUAUUUUUCAAUUGAGAUAGUGAUGUUCUUACUGUUUUGAGUUUGGAAAUGCCAUCAGAAUUUGGAGUUUCUUUGCCAAAUAACUGCAACACCUCCUUUCUUGCUUCCUCUUGCCAUUCAGGAUGUUGUGCCAGAAGAAAAACAGUCCAAGAAAGCAAAGUACUAGUUGUCUCCUGUCCAACAAAGUAUAAUGCCUUGCACUCUUCAACCACAUUGUCUAUCGAAAAUUUCUGGUCGUCAUUGAUGUCAUGAUGAGACUUCAAAAGUAAGCCAAGAAAAUCACUCCCAAAGCUCUCUCCUUCCCCGCUGCUUGCCUUCUGUUCUCUUUUCUUAACAAUCUCCAUUACAGAGUCUUGUAUUUCUUUCUCAAGCUUGUCUGCUUCAAUCUCACCGCUGGUUCUAUAAACCUUGCUGCUAUUUUGAAUGAGAAGCAACAUGCAUCAACCAAUUAAUCAAUAUUCAAUAGCUAAAAGAGAAAGAUCGAUUCUGGGAAGCUACCUGAUUCCAGGAAACCUGGUCUUGUACUUGUAAAGAUUUUUGAAUACUAUGAUGCUUAAAUUCUUCAACAUUUCAAAAAUGUUUUGUCCUUCUAAGUAGCUGCUGCCAAACGCUGUCCUGGCAAUCACUUCUGAAGUCAACAAUCUAAAUUCCUCAAACACAUCAGUCUCUUUUCCUUCAUGAUUUUUCCACCUUUCUAUCAUCGCCUCUGCACUAGCUGUCAUGUCUGGAAACAUAGCCUUGUAACAAAAUACCAUCAUACAACUAUUAAGUUUAAUAUUCUUGUUUUAGGAGAAUUUUAGAAAUAACUGUGUUUUUUUGAAACUUUCUUGAACUAAAACAUAUUGAUUUUUUUUUCAAUUAAAACUAAAACUGAAACAUAUUGAUUGAAGGACCUAAAUAAGUAUAUAUGGAACAGUCCUAGUCUAACCCAUGAUCUCCACGAUCAUAAUUUGAGAAGUAACAAACAGCCACAGGUCCAGAACUCAUGGUAUCUAAACAUAUUGCAGUAAGAAAGUAAGAAACAACUAUGAAGAGUAACUUACUUUUAAGCUCUCUCCAUGGAAGGCAUGGUUGGCCAGCUUUCUCAAAUUGGCCCAUUUUUCAUCUUCUGUCAUGGCAAGGCUAUCUCCAAAUAGCUUCUUCACAAUGUCACUAGGCUUUGGUUUUGGAAAAGCUCCAUCUUUGUUAUUGAAAAUCUCUUUGCAUGACUCAGGUUCUGUAACAACCAAAACUGGUUGAACACCAUACCACAUAAGAAAGUUCU
This 2843-nucleotide long non-coding RNA is filed under the name Fragaria vesca (wild strawberry). Its description in RNAcentral is "long non-coding RNA (FVES_LNC002015)". Lineage: Eukaryota; Viridiplantae; Streptophyta; Magnoliopsida; Rosales; Rosaceae. The record is from RNAcentral.